GGUCGGUUCGUCUAGUGGCAGGACAUAGGAUUUUCAGUCCUAGUACAGGAGUUCGACUCUCCUACCGACUACCA
This 74-nucleotide transfer RNA is filed under the name Pseudobutyrivibrio sp. Its description in RNAcentral is "tRNA-Glu". It matches the Rfam family "tRNA". From Rfam's summary of the family: Transfer RNA (tRNA) molecules are approximately 80 nucleotides in length. Their secondary structure includes four short double-helical elements and three loops (D, anti-codon, and T loops). Lineage: Bacteria; Bacillati; Bacillota; Clostridia; Lachnospirales; Lachnospiraceae. The record is from RNAcentral.